Molecule: ribosomal RNA, 482 nt
Filed under: uncultured bacterium
Lineage: Bacteria
Description: partial 16S ribosomal RNA
Rfam family: Bacterial small subunit ribosomal RNA
Source: RNAcentral
GACGAACGCUGGCGGCGUGCUUAACACAUGCAAGUCGAACGCUGAAGCGCAGCUUUUGUUGGGUUGAUGAGUGGCGAACGGGUGAGUAACACGUGAGUAACCUGCCUCCUUCUUUGGGAUAACGCCCGGAAACGGGUGCUACUACAUGAUAUUCACUGGGCUUCGCGUGGGGGUUGGGGGCAAGGGGUUUUCUGGUGGGGGGUGGGCGCGCGGCCUAUCGGCUUGGUGGUGGGGUGAUGGCCUACCAAGGCUUUGACGGGUAGCCGGACGGAGAGGGUGACCGGUACCGUUGGGCCGGCGAUACGCCCCAGACUCGCACGGGAGGCGGCAGUGGGGAAUAUUGCGCAAUGGGCGCAAGCCUGAUGCAGCGACGCCGCGUGGGGGUUGGGGGCCUUCGGGUUGUGAACCUCUUUCGCUCAUGAUCAAGCCGCAACAAUGGUUGUGGUGCGGGUCGUGGAUAAAGAAGCGCCGGCUAACUCCGU